GUGAAUCAUCGAAUCUUUGAACGCACCUUGCGCCCGCCAGUACUCUGGCGGGCAUGCCUGUUCGAGCGUCAUUUCAACCCUCAAGCCCUGCUUGGUGUUGGGGCCCUACGGCUGCCGUAGGCCCUGAAAGGAAGUGGCGGGCUCGCUACAACUCCGAGCGUAGUAGAAUCCUAUCUCGCUAGGGAGGUGCGGCGUGCUCCUGCCGUUAAAGACCCCAUCUUUAACCAAGGUUGACCUCGGAUCAGGUAGGAAUACCCGCUGAACUUAAGCAUAUCAAUAAGCGGAGGA
Molecule: unclassified non-coding RNA, 288 nt
Filed under: Coniochaeta sp.
Lineage: Eukaryota; Fungi; Ascomycota; Sordariomycetes; Coniochaetales; Coniochaetaceae
Description: partial contains 5.8S ribosomal RNA, internal transcribed spacer 2, and large subunit ribosomal RNA
Rfam family: 5.8S ribosomal RNA (bases 1-71)
Source: RNAcentral